CACGUAGGGGGCAAGCGUUGUCCGGAAUUAUUGGGCGUAAAGAGCUCGUAGGCGGCUUGUCACGUCGGGUGUGAAAGCCCGGGGCUUAACCCCGGGUCUGCAUUCGAUACGGGCAGGCUAGAGUGUGGUAGGGGAGAUCGGAAUUCCUGGUGUAGCGGUGAAAUGCGCAGAUAUCAGGAGGAACACCGGUGGCGAAGGCGGAUCUCUGGGCCAUUACUGACGCUGAGGAGCGAAAGCGUGGGGAGCGAACAGG
This 253-nucleotide ribosomal RNA is filed under the name uncultured bacterium. RNAcentral describes it as "partial 16S ribosomal RNA". It matches the Rfam family "Bacterial small subunit ribosomal RNA", at positions 524 to 776 of the family's 1533-position model. The record is from RNAcentral.